RNAcentral lists this long non-coding RNA (1440 nucleotides) under Oncorhynchus mykiss (rainbow trout). RNAcentral's name for it is "lncRNA (ENSOMYG00000054360.1)". Lineage: Eukaryota; Metazoa; Chordata; Actinopteri; Salmoniformes; Salmonidae. The record is from RNAcentral.
UCUAUAGCUCUGUAUGUUACUGCCUGCCUUACCGCCUGCCCGCCUUACCGCCCGCUUGCCUUACCGCUCGCCCGACUACCUUACCGCCCGCCUUACCGCCCGCUUGCCUUACCGCCCGACUGCCUUACCGCCCGCCCGACUGCCUUACCGCCCGCCCGACUGCCUUACCGCCCGCCCGACUACCUUACCGCCUUGCCCGCCUUACCGCCCGCUUGCCUUACCGCUUGCCUUACCGCCCGCUUGCCUUACCGCCCGACUACCUUACCGCCUGCCCGCCCGACCGCCCGCCUUACCGCCCGACUACCUUACCGCCUGACUACCUUACCGGCUUACCGCCCGCCCGACUGCCUUACCGCCUUGCCCGCCCGCCUUACCGCCCGAUUGCCUUACCGCCUGCCCGCCUUACCGCCCGACUGCCUUACCGCCUGCCCGCGCGACUGCCUUACCGUCCGCUUGCCUUACCGCCUGCCCGCCUUACCGCCCGACUACCUUACCGUCCGACUACCUUACCGUCCGACUGCCUUACCGCCCGCCCGACUACCUUACCGCCUUGCCGCCCGCUUGCCUUACCGCCCGCUUGCCUUACCGCCCGACUGCCUUACCGCCCGCCCGACUACCUUACCGCCUUGCCCGCCCGACUGCCUUACCGCCCGCUUGCCUUACCGCCCGCUUGCCUUACCGCCCGACUACCUUACCGCCUGCCCGCCCGCCUUACCGCCCGACUACCUUACCGCCUUUCCGCCUGACUACCUUACCGGCUUACCGCCCGCUUGCCUUACCGCCCGCCCGACUGCCUUACCGCCUUGCCCGCCCGAUUGCCUUACCACCUGCCCGCCUUACCGCCCGACUGCCUUACCGCCUGCCCGCGCGACUGCCUUACCGCCCGCUUGCCUGCCCGCCUUACCGCCCGACUACCUUACCGUCCGACUACCUUACCGCCCGCCCGACUACCUUACCGCCUUGCCGCCCGCUUGCCUUACCGCCCGCUUGCCUUACCGCCCGACUGCCUUACCGCCUUGCCCGCCUUACUGCCCGCUUGCCUUACCGCCCGCUUGCCUUACCGCCCGCUUGCCUUACCGCCCGACUGCCUUACCGCCCGACUGCCUUACUGCCUUGCCCGCCCGCUUGCCUUACCGCCCGUCCGCCUUACCGCCCGACUGCCUUACCGCCCGACCGCCUUACCGCCGUCCGCCUUACUGUCCGUCCGCCUUACCGCCCGCCCGACUACCUUACCGCCUUGCCUGCCUUACCGCCUGCCCGCCUUACCGCCCGACUGCCUACCGCCCUGCCUGCCUUACCGCCUGCCUGCCUUGCCUGCUUUACCGCCUGCUUGCCUGCCUUACCACCUGCCUUACCGCCUGCCUGACCGCCUUGGCAUGGGACACCACUGCUAGACUGGAGCCUAGUUGUCAGAGCAGCCAGCUAUAUUGUAGUCUAUAG